AUUGAACGCUGGCGGCAGGCCUAACACAUGCAAGUCGAGCGGUAACAGGAAGCAGCUUGCUGCUUUGCUGACGAGUGGCGGACGGGUGAGUAAUGUCUGGGAAACUGCCUGAUGGAGGGGGAUAACUACUGGAAACGGUAGCUAAUACCGCAUAACGUCGCAAGACCAAAGAGGGGGACCUUCGGGCCUCUUGCCAUCGGAUGUGCCCAGAUGGGAUUAGCUAGUAGGUGGGGUAACGGCUCACCUAGGCGACGAUCCCUAGCUGGUCUGAGAGGAUGACCAGCCACACUGGAACUGAGACACGGUCCAGACUCCUACGGGAGGCAGCAGUGGGGAAUAUUGCACGAUGGGCGCAAGCCUGAUGCAGCCAUGCCGCGUGUAUGAAGAAGGCCUUCGGGUUGUAAAGUACUUUCAGCGGGGAGGAAGGGAGUAAAGUUAAUACCUUUGCUCAUUGACGUUACCCGCAGAAGAAGCACCGGCUAACUCCGUG
RNAcentral lists this ribosomal RNA (490 nucleotides) under uncultured bacterium. Its description in RNAcentral is "partial 16S ribosomal RNA". It matches the Rfam family "Bacterial small subunit ribosomal RNA", at positions 30 to 507 of the family's 1533-position model. The record is from RNAcentral.